Molecule: long non-coding RNA, 268 nt
Organism: Antechinus flavipes (yellow-footed antechinus)
Lineage: Eukaryota; Metazoa; Chordata; Mammalia; Dasyuromorphia; Dasyuridae
Exons: 2
Source: RefSeq, a predicted model, not a curated record
UUGAUAAUGUGCUACAACAAUCAAAAUUUUACCAUUUUUAGAUUUUUAAUAUAAUAUGCAUUAUUAUUCUUAUGCCUAAAUUGUAAAUAAUUUCCAAAAUAAAUGGCCAUUACUGUCACCUAAAGAAAUACAAAAUAUGUGUUGCUGCUGUGGGAGACAAAAUUGCCGGGGGUGGGGUGGGGUGGAAUAUAUAAAGUAGGUAGAUUUAGAUUUCAUUACAGAUUGGCAUUGGAACUUUGCUCAGUGUCUGACCUGUGCUGAAUCACCU